Molecule: ribosomal RNA, 246 nt
Filed under: Triticum aestivum (bread wheat)
Lineage: Eukaryota; Viridiplantae; Streptophyta; Magnoliopsida; Poales; Poaceae
Description: partial small subunit ribosomal RNA
Source: RNAcentral
AUGGACGACAUUCACUGGUAUUUAUGUGUUAUAAAUGCCAGAAAAAAAUGUGUUCAAGUGCUUGACUCGCUAGGCCCAUACAUGAGCCGCAAGGACCUCACUGAUACGCUAGAAGGACUAGAGGAUUUAUUCAAAUAUGCAUCCAAGCACAUGGAAUUAAAAUCUGAUAAGUGGAUUGAUCUAGAUGUUACAACAUGGAAAAGAGAAGAAUAUAUUAAGAGCAAUCUUCAGACGGAUGGAUUUUAG